This 639-nucleotide ribosomal RNA is filed under the name Naganishia cerealis. Its description in RNAcentral is "partial large subunit ribosomal RNA". It matches the Rfam family "Eukaryotic large subunit ribosomal RNA", at positions 38 to 667 of the family's 3401-position model. The record is from RNAcentral. Lineage: Eukaryota; Fungi; Basidiomycota; Tremellomycetes; Filobasidiales; Filobasidiaceae.
GCAUAUCAAUAAGCGGAGGAAAAGACCCGUGCCGGUGUUGGGAGUAGCUCGGCGAGUGAAGCGGGAAGAGCUCAAAUUUGAAAUCUGGUAGCCUUCGGUUGCCCGAGUUGUAAUCUAGAGAAGUGUUUUCCGCGUUGGCCCAUGUACAAGUCCCUUGGAACAGGGCGUCAUAGAGGGUGAGAAUCCCGUCCUUGACAUGGACCCCCAAUGCUUUGUGAUACACUUUCAACGAGUCGAGUUGUUUGGGAAUGCAGCUCAAAAUGGGUGGUGAAUUCCAUCUAAAGCUAAAUAUUGGCGAGAGACCGAUAGCGAACAAGUACCGUGAGGGAAAGAUGAAAAGCACUUUGGAAAGAGAGUUAAACAGUACGUGAAAUUGUUGAAAGGGAAACGAUUGAAGUCAGUCAUGCUCUUUGGUUUAAGCCGUUCUGCGGUGUAUAUCAUUGAGUGGGGUCAACAUCAGUUUUGACCGCUGGAAAAGGGCAGGAGGAAGGUAGCACCCCCGGGUGAACUUAUAGCCUCUUGUCGUAUACAGUGGUUGGGACUGAGGAACGCAGCAUGCCUUUUGGCCGGGAUUCGUCCACGUACAUGCUUAGGAUGUUGACAUAAUGGCUUUAAACGACCCGUCUUGAAACACGGACC